UACUUUCACUGCAAGCCUGGAUAGCCCUGUCUGUAAUGUGGUCUGCCUGCAGAGGUGGCUUACACAUCCGAGUACUUUCANGUAUGUAAGUAUGUAUAUGUAUAUAUGUGUGUGAGACAGAAUGAAAAUGUUUGUUUUGAAUUAUUUAAAUCUACACAAUGAUCUUAUUUGAUCAGGUUGGAGUCUGGCCUUACUCUAAUACUGAGAUGAUAAAAAACGACGCGCUAGCCAACUAGGCGGUGUGCGUGUAUGUCACCGAUUCGAAGGCUUUUUAUGGUUUAGAGAUGAUGAAUUGAUCAGAUAUACUAGUGCCGAGUGGCUCGCGGGGAUCCCGCGUCCGUUUCUCGGGCCAUGAGUAUAAAGGCGAUUCUGAUCUAA
Molecule: non-coding RNA, 378 nt
Organism: Paramormyrops kingsleyae
Lineage: Eukaryota; Metazoa; Chordata; Actinopteri; Osteoglossiformes; Mormyridae
Product: small Cajal body-specific RNA 2
Source: RefSeq, a predicted model, not a curated record